This is a long non-coding RNA of Podarcis raffonei (Aeolian wall lizard), 621 nucleotides long. RefSeq lists it as uncharacterized. The transcript has 3 exons. The record is from RefSeq and is a predicted model, not a curated record. NCBI's taxonomy places the organism in Eukaryota, Metazoa, Chordata, Lepidosauria, Squamata, Lacertidae.
GAUUCCUUACAUGCCCUUCGCCGUCAGGUCCCAGGGCAGGUUACGACAACAGCAUCUGCAAUUAUGAAAACAACAAAAACCCAAGACGCAUAAAACCAUUCCAAAUGGAACAGAACAAUAUAAAUUCAGCCAAAGAGAGAGCCCGUGGGAUGAUAAAAGUGUGCAUUCUCAUCGCAUCAAGUCCAGCAAAGGCAUCUUCUUCAUUUAUGUCAGUCCUCAAAAAUUACUGAAUUAAUAUUUGGAGAGCGUAGUUACCGUAUCUCUCAGCCAACAAUGUGUCAGACACCUAGCCGUCAUCUCUUAUCACAAUGAAUGAUUGUAAACAAGCUGCUGUAGAAGAAAACUGGAAGGAAGAAUGACAGGCUGAGCAGACAGUUUGGAAGAGCAGUUUCACCAGUAAUGAUUAACAAAUACCAUAUGACGACAAAGCAAAAAUACCAGCCUUACCCAGUAACAUCCUCCAAGGUGCAGGGGUCAGGAGUGGGAAAUCACUGAAUCAUUGUGACUCCGGGUUUUAUCUGCCUUCCUUUGCCAACAAAGAUACACCUGGUUUCGUAGUGGCUUCAGUCUCAGCUAGCUUCAGUGACUCAGUAGUGUAGUGCAGGGGUCAGCAAACUUUUU